RNAcentral lists this long non-coding RNA (2012 nucleotides) under Heterocephalus glaber (naked mole-rat). RNAcentral's name for it is "lncRNA (ENSHGLG00000048797.1)". Lineage: Eukaryota; Metazoa; Chordata; Mammalia; Rodentia; Bathyergidae. The record is from RNAcentral.
CCCUCGGUCCCGGCCCGCAAAGAAGCCUGGAGUCCGUGACGGGGUGGAAGGGCCUUCGUGUGGCGAGGCAAGCGGAGCAGAGCCCACGCCUGGGACCCCGCGUCCGAGGGGCGCCCCAGGAACCAGGGGUUCGAGAUUCCAGGGCUCGAGCCCCGCCCUGUCUCGUACUGACUGAUUUGGGACAGAAUAUUUAACUAGUUAGUCUUAGUGUCUUCCCUUGUAGGAUGUGGAAAAUAAUCAUACCAACCUCCAAGUUUUAGGAGGGUGAUGAAACAGUAUGAGGAAGAAAGUGCAUGGCACAGUAUUUCCUGUCAGCCUGUGGUGGGUUCUUUGAGGGCAGCGGCCCGCGGCGGUGUCUGGAGGCUUGAGGAUGGGCAUACUCCACUGGUCCGGGAGCAGGACCGUCUCCAUGGUAACUGGAUGGUUUUCAAAGUUUGGACUCUGUUAUCUUGACUUGGAAGACUGAGGAGGCGCUACAGUCUUUGUGAAAGGUGCCUCAAACUUAGCCUGAUGAUUAACGCUCGUAAUUAGGCCAUUGGAUCAGGGUACUGUCACCAAGUUGGAUGGAAUCCCCUGCGUCUCUCAGCACACCCCUUGAGACCUGAAAAUAUUUCUCCAAGCAUUUCUACUCACUUGAUUUUGGAAAACGUUGACAAGACUCUCUACUCCACAUGUAGUUGUGACAGAGCAAAUAUAACAGGUUUUUUUUUUUCGUCACAGAACAAAGAUGAGGCAGUUUGAAAACUGGAGCAGAAAAACAAACUGAUUAAUCUGCCUAAAUCAAUCUGAUUAAUCUGCCUAAAUUCACUUUAGUUUGCAUUUGUAAUUUGUAAUUUGACCUGCCUGAUUGAGGGCUUGGUAUGACUGAGGUGGGGCUUUCAGUUUCCCUCAGGAGCUUGUUGAGUAAUGGGCAGGACAAAUGAUGAUCUUGGAAAAACAGCAGCCCAUGCUUCCUUCUUCAUAAUAUGAUGCCUUUGUUCUGCAGUAUUAAAGAAAAGGGGGCGGGGUGCAAAGGCAUGUUUUGGAGCAAAACUCUUCCUCAUUGUAGGCCAGUCCUUGACUCCAAGGGCAUAAAGUGGAGCUAAGUCUGCUUCCGUAUAAAAAGUAUGUCUAGAAAAUGAAGACCAGGAAAAGACAAAGAGUACAUGAAGGUAUAGCCAAAUUCUGGUUUCCUCCUACACAUCUUAAAAGUGUAAACAGUGCCAAGAGAAGGCUGGCCUAGAAUCUUUAAUCUUCGUGAUUUCCCACACUCCAGAUUUGUUCUUGUCCUUGUGGGACCAAAAAUUUUGUCUGAUUUUCAGUAUUCUAGGGUUGAUUAGCACUGUUGUAUAAAAUCAGAAUUUUACAUUUGGUGUGCAAAGUUAAGUAAAAGUGAAAAAAAUGAAAUAACCCUUUUAGAUAUGUCACUCAACAAAUGUUCUACGGCAACCACAGAAUGCAAUCACCUUUGUAGUGCUGGGAUCCACUAAGCAAAAAUAGAAGAAACAGACUUCAGGGAGGAAAUCAGACGACCAAGACAAGUCUUAUCUAUGUGGCAGCACAGAUGAAGUUACCGCCAUUUCGUAGUGAAAAGAAGCUAGCCCUCCAAGAGCACCCUUGCUGAGUUCGCUUCUAAGAAGGUGCCCUUGGAGAGCUGGGUGGUGUAGGAUGGCUGUCCUUGAGGUUCAUUCACCAGUAGCCUGUCGGAGCUAAUUACUUGUGCAGGGCAGAGCCCUUCAAAUCACCAUCCAUUCUUCCUGUGAAGCCCCCAUUGAAGACAAACCAUGACUACUCCGUGAAUAUUUGAACAAGCUCUCUAGGAGAUCAAGCAUGGCGUUUUCUUCACUGACUGCACACCUCAGGCAGCCCAUACCCAGCUCAAGGUGCAGGGUGGAGGCUAGGGGUAGGUGAGUUUGUGUGCUUUGUUAUCAGGCUUCUUCAGGAAGCACAGGUACCAUUAGUCUGCAUAGACUGAAAAUACAAAGAUGUGGGCUUCAUGAAGGAUGUUUUUUCUGAGUGCUGUCUCAUUAAGG